GGGGACGCGGGUGGCAGAAAGUGGAGCUGGGCUGAUGUGCGGGAGCGGCCGGAGUCUGUGGAGCUGGAAAUUCACCGGUCCAGGAAGACGUCUUUCCUGCGUCCCAGCACCUUGGGCCACGCUCCUUGGUGAGAGCGCCCUCUCCAAGGAGGCUGGCCCUGGAUAUUUCACCCAAAAUAUUUAUUUUUUCUUUUUUUCUAGCUGGAGUGCAGUUGCCUGAUCUCAGCUCACUGCAACCUCCACCUCCCAGGCUCAAGCUAUCCUCCUGCCUCAGCCUUCCGAGUAGCUGGGACCACAGGGUCUCCCUCUGUCACCCAGGGCUGGAGUGCAGUGGCAUAAUCACAGCUAAUUGCAGCCUCAACAUUCCAGGCCCAAGGAUCCUCCCUUUAGCCUCCCAGAGUCGGAGUCUCCCUAUGUUUCCCAGGCUGGUCUCGAACUCCUGACCUCAA
Molecule: small RNA, 449 nt
Filed under: Pongo abelii (Sumatran orangutan)
Lineage: Eukaryota; Metazoa; Chordata; Mammalia; Primates; Hominidae
Description: processed transcript
Source: RNAcentral